This 307-nucleotide small nuclear RNA is filed under the name Chinchilla lanigera (long-tailed chinchilla). RNAcentral describes it as "7SK RNA (ENSCLAG00000021723.1)". It matches the Rfam family "7SK RNA", at positions 1 to 294 of the family's 331-position model. Rfam says of the family: 7SK was discovered as an abundant small nuclear RNA in the mid-70s but a possible function has only recently been suggested. Lineage: Eukaryota; Metazoa; Chordata; Mammalia; Rodentia; Chinchillidae. The record is from RNAcentral.
GGAUGUGAGGGUGAGCUGGCUGCUCCAGGGUUGAUUAGGCUGAUCUGGCUGGCUAGGCGGGUAUCCCCUUCCUCCCUCAAUGCUCCAUGUGCGUCCCUCCCGAAGCUGUGCGCUCAGUCGAAGAGGAUGAUCACCCCCGAUGGAGGACCGUUCCUCGGUCAAGGGUAUACGAGUAGCUGUGCUCCCCUGCUACAACCUCCAAACAAGCUAACAUAAUAUAUGUUUCUAAAAACCUUAUUCUGCAGAAUUGCGUGGUAAAAAUAGGCUAGGGAGAAAAUAGAGUAGGGCCAACCACUCAACUCUGAUU